RNAcentral lists this ribosomal RNA (253 nucleotides) under uncultured bacterium. Its description in RNAcentral is "partial 16S ribosomal RNA". It matches the Rfam family "Bacterial small subunit ribosomal RNA", at positions 524 to 776 of the family's 1533-position model. The record is from RNAcentral.
UACGUAGGGCGCAAGCGUUGUCCGGAAUUAUUGGGCGUAAAGAGCUCGUAGGCGGCUUGUCACGUCGGGUGUGAAAGCCCGGGGCUUAACCCCGGGUCUGCAUUCGAUACGGGCAGGCUAGAGUGUGGUAGGGGAGAUCGGAAUUCCUGGUGUAGCGGUGAAAUGCGCAGAUAUCAGGAGGAACACCGGUGGCGAAGGCGGAUCUCUGGGCCUUACCUGACGCUCAGGCACGAAAGCUAGGGGAGCGAACAGG